Molecule: long non-coding RNA, 2498 nt
Organism: Grus americana (Whooping crane)
Lineage: Eukaryota; Metazoa; Chordata; Aves; Gruiformes; Gruidae
Exons: 4
Source: RefSeq, a predicted model, not a curated record
AUGAAUUCCUAGAAACGCUGAAGAACAAGAGGUAGACAGAAUACAUUACAAAGAAAUUGUGAAAGUGACUUAAUUUUUGAAACAGAAAAUCAGAACAGAGGGCAAAGAAACUGCAGAAAAAUGAAGACGGAGCUAUACUGCCCUCAUUAAAUAUUUACCUCCUACUGGAGAUGAAAACCUGUCAAAUUAAAAAAAAAAAAAAGAAAAAAAAAAGAAAAAAAAAAGAAAGAAAUUCAAAUCCAGGAAAAAAAAUGUAUAAGUUGGUAGCAGCAUCUAAAAGUUAAGCAUCUUCUGAUUCUGUGCAGGGAGAAAGGAUUUAUUAAGUUACUAUGAUGGAACCAUAAGAAAAUAGAAAGCACAGAGCUGUGAAGAAUCUGCGGAACAGCUUGAAAGAAACAGCACAGAUGGAUCUAAAGAUCACUUGCAUCCAGACGACAGCUUCAGAAAAAGGUGGUACACUGCCUGCAGAAAUUGGCCGUUGUCCUCCCAUCACAGAGCAUCAAGAGUGAUCCAAAGCUGCAGAUCAAGACUUGGCAGGUAGAUCUGGCAAGAACCUGUGGGCAGGGGCUGGAGCAUCUCAGAAAUACAGUCUCUGCCAGUUUGCCCAGGGAUGAAGCCUCCAGCAACAAAAUUCCAUGUGGCUUUUUGCAUGGCCACAGUCACCUGUUGAUAUUUUAAAUGGAGAAAUUUACACAGAAGAGAUGAGCUUAAGCCAGCAAUCUAGAAGAGAUCUGAAUCUUAAUAAGCAAGAAGCAGCACUGCUUUUUCCUUAAGUAGAUCAAUCUACGAAGACAAGAUUUUUCUCUCCGGUUGGGAAAGCAUAUGGAGAAAGCCACUACAUUGGUUAAGGGCUGAAGGCGAUGUUGCCAAGGGCAAAGAAAUGUUCAGUGAAAUCAGUAUCUAUGACAGCUGAUACUGUCCAUGUAUUUGAAAGCUAAAAUCUCUUCCUUGCAAGAGAGCGCGUCGCAGCUGUAUUUCAUCCAUCUUCCCCAAAGCUCCUAAGAGCCUCCAAGGAUCUCCACGUAGCCACUGUUCUCCGUGGCCCCACCAAUGUGUCACAUUACUCGCCCUACAGCAUGUCGUUUGGGCUGAGGCUUGGAGCAGUGUGUAAAGCGGCAAUUAAGCUAUGUAAACCGGGCCAAAGCGGAUGUUGAAUCAUGAGUUGUUCAGGGCCAUGAAACAAUUUGAUCUGUCUGAGGAAGUCUGCUGCAGAAAGCAGAUUUAAAAGGAGAGAGUCACACACAGAUGGGGGAAUGCAAGCAAAGCAUUUCUCUGACUGGAGAGCAUCUGGCAUACCAUUAAGCUACACUUAAAUAACUAACGAGCUAAACAAAAAUUUUAAGUAGUGCGUGAUGUGUGUCUUUUGGAAGGACCUGAAAUAUGACAGCUGAAGACAAGUCACAGGAUGUUUAACUACCGGAGAUCCGAAGCUGUCCAAACGGAUGCUUAAACCAUAGCCAGAAGCAAAGGAAAAUGAAAAAAAUCCCAAAACAACAAACACACACAGAGUCUGUUCAAGUCAAAAUGAUGGAUAUGAUGGAGAACUGGACCUGCAAAUGUAAAGACAGAAAAAUAAUUACUGCAUUGUAGACUACAGCACUUAAAUGAGAGCAAGAAGGCUGGGUAACUGAGCUUUAUUUCAUUAUAUUUUACCAGGCUUUAAAUUUUACCAAUCUCUAAGACCAGAUGCAGCUCUGCUUAUCCACUACCAGAUAAUUUUGCCUCUGGGCACAAAAGUUGGACAGUUAUCCCACAAUCACUAAGUCUGCAGUCCCCUAAGUCUUUUACAUAGAAGAACCGAUGUUUAUGCUACUUUUUAGAAACAGAGAGGUGAAACAGCUCUCGUGCAGCUCUGGAGUCCUCAGCAAUUCUGCCUCUCUCGGAUCCUGAGGAACUAGUCUCUCUGGAUUUCUCUUCUCAUUUGUUACAAAAAACACUAACACCUUUCUUUUUUCCUAGCAUCUUCCAUGUUUACUUUCAUUACCUUGUAAAACACAGCCACAAAAGAAGGUGGACUGUGAUCCUUUUGCAUACACUACUGAAUUAGGAGGAGUUUGGCUCAGAGGAUGGUCAGUGUACUACAUGCAGCUAUAAGAAAGCCUGAUAUCAGUUCAAUUAACGUUAAGAAGAAGAAGAAAACCCAAACACUCAGAUGAGAAUAAUUUGUAACUAGAUGUAGCUGUGCACUUGAAAAAGAGGUGCAGGUAAUGUGUUUCAGGACAUUGCCAAAGGAGUAAAAUAAUAUUUACCCACUGCUUACAUUAUUUUAAAUAUAACACAAUUUUUAAACUUUUAGAAAGAAAGAAUCUUUGGCUGUAGCCUGUGCUUGGAAGACAGUUGUAUUUCACCCCUGUUAAGCAGACUAGCUCACAGCUGGCUAAAGAUUAUCACCCCAAAAUACAGCUGCACUUAAUUUGAAGAUGCCCCAUCCUUGCCUUUGUUGUUUUGUGUUCACUUCCUGAGUGGUUAAUAACAGUUAAAUGAAUAUAAUAAUAAAA